UUUCUUUUUGAACUUGUUUACUCACCAAACGUUGAAUGACUUUAUUAUCGGAUCAUCGGCGCUAACCAUUAAUUUUAAAAAUUCGAGCGGCUAAAAAUACGUAAAGCGUCGGACACAGCACCCAUGGUGCCCGACGGGAUAACAUUAGUUAUUCAAAAAGAAAGCGUUUUUCCUCUUUGAACUUGUUUACUCACCAAGUGUUAAAUGACUUUAUUGUCGGAUCGUCGGCGCUAACUAUUAAUUCCAAAAGUUCAAGCGGUUAGAAAUACGCAACUAAUUUACUUAAAACGUGUUAUAUUUGGUUCUGUACGCUUGAGA
This 318-nucleotide long non-coding RNA is filed under the name Ananas comosus (pineapple). Its description in RNAcentral is "long non-coding RNA (ACOM_LNC003984)". The record is from RNAcentral. Lineage: Eukaryota; Viridiplantae; Streptophyta; Magnoliopsida; Poales; Bromeliaceae.